This 589-nucleotide ribosomal RNA is filed under the name uncultured bacterium. RNAcentral's name for it is "bacterial SSU rRNA". The stretch from base 1 to 517 matches the Rfam family "Bacterial small subunit ribosomal RNA", at positions 338 to 873 of the family's 1533-position model. The record is from RNAcentral.
CCUACGGGAGGCAGCAGUGGGGAAUAUUGGACAAUGGGCGAAAGCCUGAUCCAGCAAUGCCGCGUGAGUGAUGAAGGCCUUAGGGUUGUAAAGCUCUUUUACCAGGGAUGAUAAUGACAGUACCUGGAGAAUAAGCUCCGGCUAACUCCGUGCCAGCAGCCGCGGUAAUACGGAGGGAGCUAGCGUUGUUCGGAAUUACUGGGCGUAAAGCGUACGUAGGCGGCUAUUCAAGUCAGAGGUGAAAGCCCGGGGCUCAACCCCGGAACUGCCUUUGAAACUAGGUAGCUAGAGUCUUGGAGAGGUUAGUGGAAUUCCGAGUGUAGAGGUGAAAUUCGUAGAUAUUCGGAAGAACACCAGUGGCGAAGGCGACUAACUGGACAAGUACUGACGCUGAGGUACGAAAGCGUGGGGAGCAAACAGGAUUAGAUACCCUGGUAGUCCACGCCGUAAACGAUGAUAACUAGCUGUCCGGGCACUUGGUGCCUGGGUGGCGCNGCUACGCAUAUUAUCGUCCGUGGNGGUACGGUCGCGAGAUAAACUACAAGAAGUAGAGCGUGAGAGUUGUCGAGGACGACGACGAGGGAGGAGG